AAGGAAUAUUGGACAAUGGAGGCAACUCUGAUCCAGCCAUGCCGCGUGAAGGAUGAAGGCGCUACGCGUUGUAAACUUCUUUUCUCUUAGAAAAAACUAUUGGUUUCGUACCGGUACUGAUUGUACAAGAGGAAUAAGCAUCGGCUAACUUCGUGCCAGCAGCCGCGGUAAUACGAAGGAUGCAAGCGUUAUCCGGAUUCACUGGGUUUAAAGGGUGUGCAGGUGGGAUAAUAAGUCAGUGGUGAAAGCCCCCGACUCAAUCGGGGAACUGCCAUAGAUACUGUUAUUCUUGAGUGUGGUUGAGGCGGAUGGAAUAUGACAUGUAGCGGUGAAAUGCUUAGAUAUGUCAUAGAACACCAAUCGCGAAGGCAGUCCGCCAAACCAUUACUGACACUGAAACACGAAAGUGCGGGGAUCAAAC
RNAcentral lists this ribosomal RNA (421 nucleotides) under uncultured bacterium. RNAcentral's name for it is "bacterial SSU rRNA". It matches the Rfam family "Bacterial small subunit ribosomal RNA", at positions 356 to 773 of the family's 1533-position model. The record is from RNAcentral.